Molecule: ribosomal RNA, 573 nt
Filed under: Staphylococcus sp. G1O38(A)
Lineage: Bacteria; Bacillati; Bacillota; Bacilli; Caryophanales; Staphylococcaceae
Description: bacterial SSU rRNA
Rfam family: Bacterial small subunit ribosomal RNA
Source: RNAcentral
GUCGAGCGAACAGAUAAGGAGCUUGCUCCUUUGACGUUAGCGGCGGACGGGUGAGUAACACGUGGAUAACCUACCUAUAAGACUGGGAUAACUUCGGGAAACCGGAGCUAAUACCGGAUAACAUAUUGAACCGCAUGGUUCAAUAGUGAAAGGCGGCUUUGCUGUCACUUAUAGAUGGAUCCGCGCCGUAUUAGCUAGUUGGUAAGGUAACGGCUUACCAAGGCAACGAUACGUAGCCGACCUGAGAGGGUGAUCGGCCACACUGGAACUGAGACACGGUCCAGACUCCUACGGGAGGCAGCAGUAGGGAAUCUUCCGCAAUGGGCGAAAGCUUGACGGAGCAACGCCGCGUGAGUGAUGAAUGUCUUCGGAUCGUAAAACUCUGUUAUCAAGGAAGAACAAAUGUGUAAGUAACUGUGCCCAUCUUGACUGUACCUGAUCAGAAAGCCACGGCUAACUACGUGCCAGCAGCCGCGGUAAUACGUAGGUGGCAAGCGUUAUCCGGAAUUAUUGGGCGUAAAGCGCGCGUAGCCGUUUUUUUAAGUCUGAUGUGAAAGCCCACGCUUCAACCGG